CCUUUGUACACACCGCCCGUCGCUACUACCGAUUGAAUGGCUUAGUGAGGUCUUCGGAUCGGUUUCGAGCAGCCGGCAACGGCAGCUUGUUACUGAAAAGUUGAUCAAACUUGGUCAUUUAGAGG
RNAcentral lists this ribosomal RNA (125 nucleotides) under Physalacria maipoensis. RNAcentral's name for it is "partial small subunit ribosomal RNA". It matches the Rfam family "Eukaryotic small subunit ribosomal RNA", at positions 1657 to 1779 of the family's 1831-position model. The record is from RNAcentral. Lineage: Eukaryota; Fungi; Basidiomycota; Agaricomycetes; Agaricales; Physalacriaceae.